CUAACCCUCCCUAAUGAU
This 18-nucleotide transfer RNA is filed under the name Basilinna leucotis. RNAcentral describes it as "partial tRNA-Lys". Lineage: Eukaryota; Metazoa; Chordata; Aves; Apodiformes; Trochilidae. The record is from RNAcentral.